Molecule: transfer RNA, 71 nt
Organism: Loxodonta africana (African savanna elephant)
Lineage: Eukaryota; Metazoa; Chordata; Mammalia; Proboscidea; Elephantidae
Rfam family: tRNA
About the family: Transfer RNA (tRNA) molecules are approximately 80 nucleotides in length.
Source: Rfam
GCAUUGGUGGUUUGGUUGUAGAAUUCUCACCUUUCAUGUGAGAGACCUGGGUUCAAUUCCCAGCCAGUGCA